AAAGCUCUUGCUAUUAGAUGAGCCUAAAUCAGAUUAGCUAGUUGUGGGUAAAGGCCCACCAAGGCGACGAUCUGUAACUGGUCUGAGAGGAUGAUCAGUCACACCGGAACUGAGACACGGUCCGGACUCCUACGGGAGGCAGCAGUGGGGAAUAUUGGACAAUGGGGGCAACCCUGAUCCAGCCAUGCCGCGUGUGUGAAGAAGGCCUUUUGGUUGUAAAGCACUUUAAGCAGGGAGGAGAGGCUAAUGGUUAAUACCCAUUAGAUUAGACGUUACCUGCAGAAUAAGCACCGGCUAACUCUGUGCCAGCAGCCGCGGUAAUACAGAGGGUGCGAGCGUUAAUCGGUAAUUACGUGGGCGUAAGCGACG
This 369-nucleotide ribosomal RNA is filed under the name uncultured bacterium. RNAcentral's name for it is "bacterial SSU rRNA". It matches the Rfam family "Bacterial small subunit ribosomal RNA", at positions 202 to 569 of the family's 1533-position model. The record is from RNAcentral.